This 443-nucleotide ribosomal RNA is filed under the name uncultured bacterium. RNAcentral describes it as "partial 16S ribosomal RNA". It matches the Rfam family "Bacterial small subunit ribosomal RNA", at positions 338 to 795 of the family's 1533-position model. The record is from RNAcentral.
CCUACGGGAGGCAGCAGUGGGGAAUAUUGGGCAAUGGAGGCAACUCUGACCCAGCAACGCCGCGUGAAUGAUGAAGGUCUUCGGAUUGUAAAGUUCUUUUCUAAGGGAAGAAGCAAGUGACGGUACCUUAUGAAUAAGCCUCGGCUAACUACGUGCCAGCAGCCGCGGUAAUACGUAGGAGGCGAGUGUUAUCCGGAAUGACUGGGCGUAAAGGGUGCGUAGGUGGGUUGGCAAGUUAGUAGCGUAACUCCAAGGCUCAACCUAGGAACUACUACUAAAACUGUUGGACUUGAGUGCAGGAGGGGCAGGCGGAAUUCCGGGUGUAGCGGUGGAAUGCGUAGAUAUUAGGAGGAACACCAGUGGCGAAGGCGGGCUGCUGGACGGUAACUGACGCUGAGGCGCGAAAGCGUGGGGAGCAAACAGGAUUAGAUACCCGGGUAGUC